AAAAUGACUAAAUGACAGUUUGAUUUCAGAAACAAUGUUCAUCCCCGUGAUAGAUCUGCCUCCCACACCAUGGAGACCAUUCUCCAUCACUGCAAGUCCUUUGUGUUUGUAUUCAUAUUAAAUGUGAACUAACAAUGAAAUAAGGGAUGGAGAUGAAUCUGCAGGAUCAAGAAGGUACUGUGCCUACUUGUUCCGGGUUGGAAAAAGGAGGAUCAGUUGAAAGCAGAACAGAUUCACCAGACCUUCCAAAUUGCUUUGCCGAGUGUUUCUAACACAGAGAUGAGACGGAAGGAUCCUCUGGGUUCGGGGUAAUAAACAGUCUCCAAUUUCUCAUCUGCAGACUAGACAGAGGUGACUUGGACGUGUUGCCGUGGUGAUGGUUACAGGAACUCUGGCACAUGCACACGUUUCCUGACACUGUCCACAUCUGAGAUGUCACUCUCAGGGAAGCAAUCUCCACACACGAUUUGUAUUCGAUAUAAUAACUGCCACAAAGAAAGGUGGACAGAAGAAGGCUGUUCUGCUAUCAAAGACGUUGUGAGCCAAGAACACAUCAUAAACAUUCACAAGAAUACCCAUGGAGCGGCCCUCAAGAAGCAUGUCUGUGGGCCACUCAGAGGGAUUCAGAAGUUUGCCAUGGAAGAAGAUGGGGAC
Molecule: long non-coding RNA, 654 nt
Filed under: Urocitellus parryii (Arctic ground squirrel)
Lineage: Eukaryota; Metazoa; Chordata; Mammalia; Rodentia; Sciuridae
Description: lncRNA (ENSUPAG00010016470.1)
Source: RNAcentral